Oryctolagus cuniculus (rabbit) is the source of this 889-nucleotide non-coding RNA. NCBI's taxonomy places the organism in Eukaryota, Metazoa, Chordata, Mammalia, Lagomorpha, Leporidae. The record is from RefSeq and is a predicted model, not a curated record.
UUCACCCCACUGUUCUGUGCAUUUCCUUUUCAAAAAACCAUAUCCUUUUUGUUAAUUUUAUUAAAAAGGUAUUAAUUGUCUACAUUUAUAGAAUAGUAAUAGCCUCAGUUUGCAUAGCAUCAAGUCUUUCUCUGUGUAGUUUAAAUAUCCUACUAUUAAAUAUGAAUAGGUAAAAUGGCUAACAGAAGAUCUACCCUGAUGAAAUCCAGCAUUGAUGAGUAACAAAAGUGAAGGCACUAAGCAUGGUGGAAAGCGCAGUGUGAGAAUAAGAGAACUGGAGAUAGACCACUUAUUACCUUUAUGUUCCUCCACAACUGUGCCUUUGUUAGUCUAUAGCUUCAGAGAACAGAGCUUCUGAGGCAGCGGGAGGCAGUCGUGUGAAUGCUGUGUGUUGAAAUUCGUCCCAGCUGGCUCUAAUGAAGAUACCUGUCCCUGCAAAUGUUCUCCACUACCAAGUCUAUGUGAAUGGGGUCUUCUUACUUCUGGUCAUAAUACAUCCCGUCACAGUCCACCUUGUGUGUCAAUUCUGACUUCUCUUCAUUCAACUUUUUGAAGCUAAUAUAAGAAUGCAUAAGCGUGGACUGGAAAAGAUGAAAUAGAAACUUCAGGUAGAGUAAAAGACAGUGAAAGAGAGACAGAGAGAAUGAUCCUCCCUCCGGUGGUUCACCCCCAAAAUGGCCACCAUAGCUGGUGCUGUGCCGAUCCAAACCCAGGAACCAGGUGAUCCCUCUUGGUCUCCCAUUUGGGUGCAGGGGCCCAAGCACUGGGGCAAUGCUCCACUGCCCUCCCGGGCUACAGCAGAGAGCUGGACUGGAAGAGGAAUAACCAGGACCAGAACCUGGCACCCAUACAGGAUGCUGGCGCCGAAGGUGGAGGAUUAACCAAGUGA